AGAGUUUGAUCAUGGCUCAGAACGUACGCUGGCGGCACGCCUAACACAUGCAAGUCGAACGAAGUAGCAAUACUUAGUGGCAGACGGGUGAGUAACAUGUGGGUAUCUGCCCUUUGGCCUGGAAUAACACGAGGAAACUUGUGCUAAUACCGGAUAAGUCUUUACGGAGAAAGCUUUAUGCACCAUUGGAUGAGCCCGCACUUGAUUAGUUUGUUGGUGGGGUAAUGGCCUACCAAGACUGUGAUCAAUAGCUGAUUUGAGAGGAUGAUCAGCCACAUUGGGACUGAGACACGGCCCAAACUCCUACGGGAGGCAGCAGUGGGGAAUCUUGCACAAUGGAGGAAACUCUGAUGCAGCGAUGCCGCGUGAGUGAAGAAGGCCCUUGGGUUGUAAAGCUCUUUCGUCGGGGAAGAAAAUGACUGUACCCGAAUAAGAAGGUCCGGCUAACUUCGUGCCAGCAGCCGCGGUAAUACGAAGGGACCUAGCGUAGUUCGGAAUUACUGGGCUUAAAGAGUUCGUAGGUGGUUGAAAAAGUUAGUGGUGAAAUCCCAGAGCUUAACUCUGGAACUGCCAUUAAAACUUUUCAGCUAGAGUAUGAUAGAGGAAAGCAGAAUUUCUAGUGUAGAGGUGAAAUUCGUAGAUAUUAGAAAGAAUACCAAUUGCGAAGGCAGCUUUCUGGAUCAUUACUGACACUGAGGAACGAAAGCAUGGGUAGC
This 716-nucleotide ribosomal RNA is filed under the name uncultured bacterium. RNAcentral's name for it is "bacterial SSU rRNA". It matches the Rfam family "Bacterial small subunit ribosomal RNA", at positions 8 to 769 of the family's 1533-position model. The record is from RNAcentral.